AUGCGCAUCUCAGGUCCGGUUUCCUCAACUCACCCUCUUUUUCCUUCCUGGGCAACGAGAUCUGGUAGCCAGAAAUCCAACAUAUCGAUUCUUGAGAUGCAUGCCCGAGGGAUCUUUGACUCUCGUGGGAACCCCACUGUGGAAGUUGACCUCUGCACCUCCAAAGGUCUCCUCCGAGCUGCUGUGCCCAGUGGGGCCUCCACUGGCAUCGAUGAGGCCCUAGAGCUGCGUGACAAUGACAAGACCCGCUACCUGGGCACGGGUGUGAAAAAGGCUGUUGAGCACAUCAAUAAAACUAUUGCAUCUGCCCUGGUUAGCAAGAAACUGAAUGUCGUGGAGCAGGAGAAGAUUGAUAAGCUGAUGAUCGAGAUGGAUGGGACUGAAAACAAAUCCAAGUUCGGAGCGAAUGCCAUCCUGGGAGUGUCUCUCGCAGUGUGCAAGGCCGGCGCCGUGGAGAAGAGGGUGCCCUUGUACCGCCACAUCACCGACCUGGCAGGCAACCCUGAGGUCAUCUUGCCUGUGCCUGCCUUCAACGUGAUCAACGGUGGCUCGCACGCUGGCAAUAAGCUGGCUGUGCAGGAGUUCAUGAUCUUGCCUGUGGGCGCGGCCAGCUUCAAGGAGGCCAUGCACAUCGGGGCCGAGGUCCACCACAACCUGAAGAACGUCAUCAAGGAUAAAUACAGCAAGGACGCCACCAACGUGGGCAAUGAGGGUGGCUUUGCACCCAACAUCCUGGAGAAUAAGGAAGCCCUGGAGUUGCUGAAGACUGCCAUUGGGAAGGCCAGCUACUCGGACAAGGUGGUCAUUGGCAUGGACAUGGCCGCAUCCGAGUUCUUCAGGUCUGGGAAGUACGACCUGGACUUCAAGUCUCCUGACAACCCCAGUAGGUACAUCUCACCCGACCAGCUGGGUGACCUCUACAAGUCCUUCAUCAAGGACUACCCAGUGGUGUCCAUCGAGGACCCCUUCGACCAGGACGACUGGGGCGCCUGGCAGAAGUUCACGGCCAGUGCUGGCAUCCAGGUGGUGAGCGACGACCUCACAGUGACCAACCCCAAGCGUAUCGCCAAGGCCGUGAAUGAGAAGGCCUGCAACUGCCUGCUGUUCAAAGUCAACCAGAUCGGCUCAGUGACUGAGUCCCUGCAGGCAUGCAAGCUGGCGCAGUCCAACGACUGGGGCGUCAUGGUGUCCCACCGGUCCAGGGAGACGGAAGACACCUUCAUUGCUGACCUGGUGGUGGGACUCAGCACUGGGCAGAUUAAGACUGGCGCACCUUGCCCAUCCGAGCGCCUGGCCAAGUACAACCAGAUCCUCAGAAUCGAGGAGGAGCUGGGUAGCAAGGCCAAGUUUGCCAGCCGGAACUUCAGAAACCCCCUGAGCAAAUAGGCCGCAGCAGGCCAGAGCCCGGGCCUCAGGCCCAGGUAGUUAGGUCUCCUCCUGCCACCGCUUCUGUAGAUGCCAUCAGGGCCACCAGGAGCCCAUGACCCCAGCUGUGAUCGUCAUGCUUGUCACCUUGUGUCCCACCACAUCUGGAGCCCUGUGUGCGCCUCAGGCCAGGUUCCCAGUGGUUCUGUUGUGAAAUAAACCCCAGCGC
Molecule: RNA transcript, 1594 nt
Organism: Octodon degus (degu)
Lineage: Eukaryota; Metazoa; Chordata; Mammalia; Rodentia; Octodontidae
Gene name: alpha-enolase pseudogene
Exons: 3
Source: RefSeq, a predicted model, not a curated record